Non-coding RNA from Camellia sinensis, 250 nucleotides. Lineage: Eukaryota; Viridiplantae; Streptophyta; Magnoliopsida; Ericales; Theaceae. The record is from RefSeq and is a predicted model, not a curated record.
ACAUGAGCGCGACCUCACGCGGACGGGGGGACUUACUUGGCGGCUAUUGGAGAGCCUGGGAGUUGUGGGUCUAUGUAUAUUUCCCGACAUUGGCCCCAGAGUUGAUGGUAGCGGGAGCUCUCGUGACCCCGUACUCACUUGUGUUUGAAGGCCAGCACCGGCCAAGACCUCGGGAGUCUCUCCUUUACCUGCGACAGUAUUUUGACACGGUGCGCUCAUCAGAGAUUACAUGGCAGCCCUGGGCGCCCUU